GACGAACGCUGGCGGCGUGCUUAACACAUGCAAGUCGAACGAAGAGCGAUGGAAGCUUGCUUCUAUCAAUCUUAGUGGCGAACGGGUGAGUAACGCGUAAUCAACCUGCCCUUCAGAGGGGGACAACAGUUGGAAACGACUGCUAAUACCGCAUACGAUCUAAUCUCGGCAUCGAGGAAAGAUGAAAGGUGGCCUCUACCUGUAAGCUAUCGCCUGAAGAGGGGUUUGCGUCUGAUUAGCUAGUUGGAGGGGUAACGGCCCACCAAGGCGAUGAUCAGUAGCCGGUCUGAGAGGAUGAACGGCCACAUUGGGACUGAGACACGGCCCAGGCUCCUACGGGAGGCAGCAGUGGGGAAUCUUCCGCAAUGGACGAAAGUCUGACGGAGCAACGCCGCGUGAGUGAUGACGGCCUUCGGGUUGUAAAGCUCUGUUAAUCGGGACGAAAGGCCCUCUUGCGAAUAGUGAGAAGGAUUGACUGUACCGGAAUAGAAAGCCACGGCUAACUACGUGCCAGCAGCCGCGGUAAUACGUAGGUGGCAAGCGUUGUCCGGGAUUAUUGGGCGUAAAGCGCGCGCAGGCGGAUAGGUCAGUCUGUCUUAAAAGUUCGGGGCUUAACCCCGUGAUGGGAUGGAAACUGCCAAUCUAGAGUAUCGGAGAGGAAAGUGGAAUUCCUAGUGUAGCGGUGAAAUGCGUAGAUAUUAGGAAGAACACCAGUGGCGAAGGCGACUUUCUGGACGAAAACUGACGCUGAGGCGCGAAAGCCAGGGGAGCGAACGGGAUUAGAUACCCCGGUAGUCCUGGCCGUAAACGAUGGGUACUAGGUGUAGGAGGUAUCGACCCCUUCUGUGCCGGAGUUAACGCAAUAAGUACCCCGCCUGGGGAGUACGACCGCAAGGUUGAAACUCAAAGGAAUUGACGGGGGCCCGCACAAGCGGUGGAGUAUGUGGUUUAAUUCGACGCAACGCGAAGAACCUUACCAGGUCUUGACAUUGAUGGACAG
Molecule: ribosomal RNA, 1000 nt
Filed under: Veillonella dispar
Lineage: Bacteria; Bacillati; Bacillota; Negativicutes; Veillonellales; Veillonellaceae
Description: bacterial SSU rRNA
Rfam family: Bacterial small subunit ribosomal RNA
Source: RNAcentral